GCCGCCUUAGCUCAGUUGGUAGAGCAUCUGAUUUGUAAUCAGACGGUCCUCGGUUCGAGUCCGGGAGGCGGCUCCA
RNAcentral lists this transfer RNA (76 nucleotides) under Gemmatimonadota bacterium. RNAcentral's name for it is "Gemmatimonadetes bacterium tRNA-Thr". It matches the Rfam family "tRNA". From Rfam's summary of the family: Transfer RNA (tRNA) molecules are approximately 80 nucleotides in length. Their secondary structure includes four short double-helical elements and three loops (D, anti-codon, and T loops). Lineage: Bacteria; Pseudomonadati; Gemmatimonadota. RNAcentral also lists the same sequence under 1 other name. The record is from RNAcentral.